Rattus norvegicus (Norway rat) is the source of this 721-nucleotide non-coding RNA. NCBI's taxonomy places the organism in Eukaryota, Metazoa, Chordata, Mammalia, Rodentia, Muridae. The record is from RefSeq and is a predicted model, not a curated record.
AUGGCCUUUUUGGACUGCGGAGGGCAAGGGAGCGAGACAGAAUGUAGGACGCUGGAGGCUGUUGUUUCGAGUGGCGGAUCCUGGUGGAUCUGCCACCGGAGGAUUUCUAACAUAGAACGAAAUCCAUGAACCUGUGAAGAACAGAGCUCACUUUCCUGAGGUCAGAUGCUUAAAUCCCUUCAGAGUUCAGACAUGGAAGGCAGGGCAGGAGGCUGAACGAUUAAGAGAGAACUGAUCGCACACAGGGCCCAGGCAGCACACACAACCUGGGACCAUGAAAGAUUUCUGCAGGGAUUCCUGGCUCAGCUAGGGUGUUUGGGUGCAAAGCUGUAAAUUCCCUGCACUGGCCAGAGUUCCCUGUCUGCACCCACCAUGCCAUCGUCUUCCGCCAAGCACAUCUUGGCGGUACCUGUACAGAUACGUACACAACUAACCUUAAUGCUGAUGGGACAUAAACUUCCGGUCUGCUGCCAUUUCUACUUCUUCUCGCUCUGAGUUGUGGAAACUGAGAAUCUUUCCAUGUACUCCAUAUUACUUCCAAAGGGGGAGACAUUAACCUUAGCAAGCUCUAUCAAUCCACAGCGGGACCAUGGAGUUUUCAGACCCUCCACUCAGAGGGGCAUGUGCUGUGAAAUACCAACUGCUCGCGGCUUAGCUAAUGGGCCCAUUAGAGCUGUGUUUAAUAACUUUUGAAAAUAAAUCUGCUUUGAUAUUUUUGGCA